RNA transcript from Brassica oleracea var. oleracea, 656 nucleotides. It is a transcript of the gene named LYR motif-containing protein 4B-like, with no coding region annotated. The transcript has 2 exons. NCBI's taxonomy places the organism in Eukaryota, Viridiplantae, Streptophyta, Magnoliopsida, Brassicales, Brassicaceae. The record is from RefSeq and is a predicted model, not a curated record.
ACUAGGUUUAUAUGUAAAAAAAACACGGAGAAUCUCAACGCCGAGCUCCCCCCUUUGUCGACGACGUGAGGGGACUAAUUACACUUCUGCGUUUUCAUCUUAGGCUUUAUACCAAUAAAAGGGGUUAGUUUUUAUCACUGCGAUGGUAGAUAAAGCUCAAGUCAUCAGCCUCUGUCGCUCCCUGCUUCGAGCGGGGCGUCAGUACCCUGACUACAACAUCAGGGAGUACGCUAAGCGAAGGACCUUGGAUGGGUUCCGCAUGAACAAGAGUCUCGCCGACCCGUCCAAGGUGGAGGAGGCUUAUGCUGAAGGUAAGAAGCAGCUGGAGGUUGUGGAGAGGGUGGUCAAGGUUUACUUGGCGUAUCCUCCCAAGACCAAGAACAUCAUGGAACUCAAGCUUCAGUAGUGGAUAUGUAUGUUUGGGCUUUUUUCAAUACCCUUAAAAAGCUAUUUGUUAUUGUUAUUGGUCAUGUUUCUUAGUUCUUUUCCAACUAUGAGACAUUGCUUUGUGUGAUUCUCGUGUAAUAUUUGUGUCUUGAUGGCUUCAGACCUUUAUUGAGUGAAGAGAGGAUCAGAGAAUAAUCUUGUAUUAGAGCUGAGAUAAAGAGUCAUUUUUGCUGAUUGUUCUUAAUAAUAAAAUCUCACACGAUUCUGCA